Molecule: ribosomal RNA, 253 nt
Filed under: uncultured bacterium
Lineage: Bacteria
Description: partial 16S ribosomal RNA
Rfam family: Bacterial small subunit ribosomal RNA
Source: RNAcentral
UACAGAGGUCUCAAGCGUUGUUCGGAUUUAUUGGGCGUAAAGGGCGCGUGGGCGGCGGGGUAAGUCGGGUGUGAAAUCUCAGGGCUCAACCCUGAAACUGCACUUGAUACUGCUCUGCUUGAGGACUGGAGAGGAGACUGGAAUUCACGGUGUAGCAGUGAAAUGCGUAGAUAUCGUGAGGAAGACCAGUGGCGAAGGCGGGUCUCUGGACAGUUCCUGACGCUGAGGCGCGAAGGCCAGGGGAGCAAACGGG